Molecule: long non-coding RNA, 297 nt
Filed under: Mytilus galloprovincialis (Mediterranean mussel)
Lineage: Eukaryota; Metazoa; Mollusca; Bivalvia; Mytilida; Mytilidae
Source: RNAcentral
UUUUUAAAGUUAGCAAAUAUGAUGAACAAAUUGUGAAAAAUUGUCAUUAAAGGACAAUAACCCCUUAAGGGGUCAAUUGACAAUUUUGGUCAUAUUGACUUAUUUGUAGAUCUUACUUUGCUGAUCAUUUUUGCUGUUUACAGUUUAUCUUUAUCUAUAAUAAUAUUCAAGAUAAUGACCAAAAACUGCAAAAUUUCCUUAACAUUACCAAUUAAGUGGCAGCAACCCAACAAUGGUUUGUUUGAUUGAUCUGAAAAUUUCAGGGCUGAUAGAUCUUGACCUAAUGAACAUUUUUAC